UAGAUUGAAGCCAGUGUAUUAGGGUAUUUAGCUGUUAACUAAAAUUUCGUGGGUUAAUACCCACCAGUCUAG
RNAcentral lists this transfer RNA (72 nucleotides) under Bradypus torquatus (Maned three-toed sloth). Its description in RNAcentral is "tRNA-Asn". It matches the Rfam family "tRNA". Rfam says of the family: Transfer RNA (tRNA) molecules are approximately 80 nucleotides in length. The record is from RNAcentral. Lineage: Eukaryota; Metazoa; Chordata; Mammalia; Pilosa; Bradypodidae.